GGGAAUCCCCGGACAGUUCGUGAAAUAGCGACGAUUUCUCAGUCGCAUUCCCCCAUGUUUGUGUUCUUAUGUGAGACUAGGCAGAAAGCAGCUAAGAUGAGAAGGAUCCGUGCACGUCUCGGUUUCCAAGGAUUUGUGGGAGUGGAUAGCAAUGGUUUGAGUGGUGGUCUGCUUUUUUGGCACGAGUCAUGUGUGGUCGAUAUUUUAGAUAAGGAUGAUCGAUAUAUUGAUGCUAUGGUGAGAUUGCAUGUUGAUGCAGAGCAAUGGAGAGUAACACUUGUUUAUGGGGAACCACGAGCUGAAAAUAGGCACUUGAUGUGGUCAAAGUUGCAUAGUUUAAAAAAUGUGAGUGAUCGACCGUGGCUCGUAAUUGGUGAUUUUAAUGAAGCUCUCUGGGAUUUUGAACAUCUCUCAUCUAACCCACGACCGGAACCACAAAUGAUCGCGUUCAGAGAUACACUUGAAGUGUGUGAGCUUAUUGAUUUGGGAUUCUCAGGAAUCCCUUUCACCUAUGAUAACAUGCGAGCUGGAGCAAACAACGUGAAGGUGCGUUUGGACAGGGCAACAGCGACCAAUGAAUGGCGUAAUUUUUUCCCUCUUUGUUCUGUACAGCAUGUUGUUUCGCCUUGUUCCGACCAUGUUGCAUUGGUAUUGAAAGGUGCGCCAGAUUCGGGUCAGCCGGGACAGAAGUGUAGGCGUUAUGAGGUUUUCUGGGGAAGGGAUUCGGCGCUACCGAAUGUGAUCAAAGAGGCAUGGGACUCCGUUGGUGACGUUGACAAUUUGGAAAAGCUUCAAUCUGCUCUAAGCAAGACGCUAGCCACCCUUAGCACGUGGAGUAAUAAAAAAUUCGGCAACAUCUCAAGGGAACUAGCUAAGUCACGAUCACAACUGGAAGAGCUCAUGAAAUAA
Molecule: ribosomal RNA, 909 nt
Filed under: Triticum aestivum (bread wheat)
Lineage: Eukaryota; Viridiplantae; Streptophyta; Magnoliopsida; Poales; Poaceae
Description: partial small subunit ribosomal RNA
Source: RNAcentral